This 548-nucleotide ribosomal RNA is filed under the name Flavobacterium sp. Its description in RNAcentral is "bacterial SSU rRNA". It matches the Rfam family "Bacterial small subunit ribosomal RNA", at positions 764 to 1320 of the family's 1533-position model. Lineage: Bacteria; Pseudomonadati; Bacteroidota; Flavobacteriia; Flavobacteriales; Flavobacteriaceae. The record is from RNAcentral.
GGUAGCGAACAGGAUUAGAUACCCUGGUAGUCCACGCCGUAAACGAUGGAUACUAGCUGUUGGGAGCAAUCUCAGUGGCUAAGCGAAAGUGAUAAGUAUCCCACCUGGGGAGUACGAACGCAAGUUUGAAACUCAAAGGAAUUGACGGGGGCCCGCACAAGCGGUGGAGCAUGUGGUUUAAUUCGAUGAUACGCGAGGAACCUUACCAAGGCUUAAAUGUAGAUUGACCGGUUUGGAAACAGACUUUUCGCAAGACAAUUUACAAGGUGCUGCAUGGUUGUCGUCAGCUCGUGCCGUGAGGUGUCAGGUUAAGUCCUAUAACGAGCGCAACCCCUGUUGUUAGUUGCCAGCGAGUCAUGUCGGGAACUCUAACAAGACUGCCAGUGCAAACUGUGAGGAAGGUGGGGAUGACGUCAAAUCAUCACGGCCCUUACGCCUUGGGCUACACACGUGCUACAAUGGCCGGUACAGAGAGCAGCCACUGGGUGACCAGGAGCGAAUCUAUAAAACCGGUCACAGUUCGGAUCGGAGUCUGCAACUCGACUCCG